GCCAAAGAAUAUAUUAUCACGUUUUGUCCGUCAAGUUGGGGUCACAGUUCCACGUAAAAAAAAUCUCCAAAAGAAUACUAUACGAAGAUACUCUAUGUAUUUACUUACAACACAAGAAGUAUGUAUUUGAUUUAGUAUAAAUUAUGAUUUUUGCUAACCAGUAUAAAGUAUGAUUAUGAACGGAUUAUAUGUAUUUCCUGGGCAUAUUAACGGAAUGUGAAAUGUGAGAUGUACCGUUAGAUAAUAUUUUCGGAAAUGGUGAUGGUCGUGCAAUGUAAAAUUAAAUCAGGC
Molecule: long non-coding RNA, 291 nt
Filed under: Brassica rapa (field mustard)
Lineage: Eukaryota; Viridiplantae; Streptophyta; Magnoliopsida; Brassicales; Brassicaceae
Description: long non-coding RNA (BRAP_LNC002852)
Source: RNAcentral